GUAUGUUAGCUCAAUUGCUUGUGUAUUAUGAAUUGGUUAUUGUCCCCCUCUUAAAAAAAAACAAACCGUGGCGUGAACAUUACUGACUACAAAUCUCUACUAGUGACCAUAUUAACUGUCUUUUAGACUUGGCCAACCGUGGCCAGAGUCAGCUGCAAAGGUCAGUGGUGCAGUGCUGCAGAUUCUCAAACCCACACCACAACUGAAUGGCCUGUUAGAGUGCAAAGCCACCAACACAUAUGGGACAAGUCAAGGUCACCUCUACCUGCACUUAUCUUCUGAAGGAUCCUGUGUUGCUGGCUGGAUCAUGUUUUGUCUUCUGCUUUUUGCCAAUUCUGUUGCUGCUGCAAUGUGUUGGUAUAGGUCACACAAAAAGUGUGCACUUCCCUGUGACACCACAGAGGAGGAUUUCAGAGCAACGGACAGAACUUCAGGGGAACCUAGAGAGCUACGGCCUUUAGAAGGGACACAAGAGGCUGAGUCUGAGACGGAGCCUUGACUCUAUUUAUUUGUAUCUUCAUCAAAAGCAGCUACACUCUUUUGUUACGGUUCUUUUCACUUUACAAUAUGUUAUUAACACAUUACAAGGUUGUAGAUUUCUUUAGUGUGAGUGUUUACCAAGUUCAACAUUUGUGUACAAUUAUAAUGAUUUUUUUUUUUUUAAUGCUCUCAUUGAAUUAUUUGUAUGAAAAGCACAAGGGUCAAGGAUUCACAAAAUGUGUAUAAUACAAAUACAUGUAUUAUUUGACUAUACUGUAUGUGCCAAAUUGUUUAAUUGAAAUACAUUUACAGUAUGUGACACUUGUAGUGGAUCGAGACACUAUUGUAUUUUUAAAAAUUUUAUAUCCUUAUACUGAUAUACUGUAUAUUGUGUACUUUUACUGAUUUACUAAGCAUUUGCAUACAUGAAAAAUAGAUAGUGUCUUUCAUAAAUGGUUAAAUGCUACUCAUUCACAUAUCAGAUUAGUGCCACUGUUGUUUGAUAAAUGUUUGCUGAUGCCUUCUGAUUUUUAUGUGCCUUGACAUUCCCUUUGUUGCCACUGACUAGACUGUUAAAUUCUGAAGCGAGUGUAUUCUCAAAGUAUAGCGAUCUGUCAUGUUAUUUAUUUUGUUGUUAUGCUACUAUGGUUGUUGAUUUGUGAGCCUUUACCAGAGGCGUAGCUUGCCAUAAGGCAAGGCAGGCAGCUGCCUGGGGCCCCCAACUGUGAAGGGCCCCCAUGCACCAACCUCUUUUUCAGACGCCUGCAGUAAACGCUUGAUAUACACAGUCUUCCUAAUGAUUUUGGUGAUGCAGUUACAUCAUCUCUUCACCGACGCUCUGUGGCGCUGUUUAUCCCCAUCCUGCUGCAUGAUUUAGUGAGUCAUGGUUCCCUAAUGUUAACUUAAUGAGCAGUGGACAGACUUUUUACUCAUGGCUCCACCAGAUUAUAUUUCUAAUAGUGAAACCAGUUUAUUGUAACUCUCUUCAUGACCUAAAGAACCUCAGCCUUCUGUUCUGAGGAAAAUUUAGGCAGAGAACUGCAUUAUGGGAGUUGUCAGGUGACCCGCUCCUGCUCAAAUGACAUCCUCUCUCCCAGUGCGUAGUACACCGAUCGGCCACCAGAGGGCCCCAACCGACAUUCUUGCUUGGGGCCCCUUGGUACCCUUGCUACGCCACUGGCCUUUACCGGUCUUUCCUGAAAUGUUGGGCUGAACAAACAGUGAUUGUUUUAUUUUUGUGUGUGUCUGUGAAA
Molecule: long non-coding RNA, 1733 nt
Organism: Neogobius melanostomus (round goby)
Lineage: Eukaryota; Metazoa; Chordata; Actinopteri; Gobiiformes; Gobiidae
Source: Ensembl